RNAcentral lists this ribosomal RNA (316 nucleotides) under uncultured bacterium. RNAcentral's name for it is "bacterial SSU rRNA". It matches the Rfam family "Bacterial small subunit ribosomal RNA", at positions 28 to 334 of the family's 1533-position model. The record is from RNAcentral.
GAUGAACGCUAGCUACAGGCUUAACACAUGCAAGUCGAGGGGCAGCAUGAAAGUUUGCUUGCAAACUUUUGAUGGCGACCGGCGCACGGGUGAGUAACACGUAUCCAACCUGCCUCAUACUCGGGGAUAGCCUUUCGAAAGAAAGAUUAAUACCCGAUGUUAUAGUCCUACCGCAUGAUGGGAUUAUUAAAGAAUUUCGGUAUGGGAUGGGGAUGCGUUCCAUUAGUUAGUUGGCGGGGUAACGGCCCACCAAGACAACGAUGGAUAGGGGUUCUGAGAGGAAGGUCCCCCACAUUGGAACUGAGACACGGUCCAA